CUGUAGUUAAAUUUCAAUCAAUAAUAUAAUCACAAACAAAGUAACAGUCGAAUUUUCUAUGUUUUAUAGGUUCAUGAAAAACAGGAUUUACAAGUAAUCUGACUAUCACAAAGCAAACAAAAAUAUCUGAGAGAGAACUUAAGUUGGACAAUAAUCAAUGCAUCCAUUAUUCCAUUUGAUCUCACGCACAUCAACUACAAUAGCUCGGUACUUUGUUUCGGUGGAUGAUGAAUGAGAUUGUAUUUUUUCUUUUUUGGUCUUUACUAGAGAUAAAAAGAACCUCCAAGUGAAGCAACUUAUGAGCCAAAAGACCUAUCGUGUCAUCGGAUAUACAGUCCGGUCAAAAUCACGAAUACAUCCCUUUGAGAUAUUGAACUAUCCUCAAUGCAGGUUCCAAUGCUCUUUAGAGAGAUUUUGCAUAACCUAUUUUCAUAUAUAUAAA
Molecule: long non-coding RNA, 442 nt
Filed under: Brassica rapa (field mustard)
Lineage: Eukaryota; Viridiplantae; Streptophyta; Magnoliopsida; Brassicales; Brassicaceae
Description: long non-coding RNA (BRAP_LNC001807)
Source: RNAcentral